GUAGUCGUGGCCGAGUGGUUAAGGCGACAGACUAGAAAUCUGCUGGGAUAUUCCCGCGCAGGUUCAAAUCCUGCAGACUACG
RNAcentral lists this transfer RNA (82 nucleotides) under Dendronephthya gigantea. RNAcentral's name for it is "tRNA-Ser". It matches the Rfam family "tRNA". Rfam says of the family: Transfer RNA (tRNA) molecules are approximately 80 nucleotides in length. Their secondary structure includes four short double-helical elements and three loops (D, anti-codon, and T loops). Further hydrogen bonds mediate the characteristic L-shaped molecular structure. tRNAs have two regions of fundamental functional importance: the anti-codon, which is responsible for specific mRNA codon recognition, and the 3' end, to which the tRNAs corresponding amino acid is attached (by aminoacyl-tRNA synthetases). tRNAs cope with the degeneracy of the genetic code in two manners: having more than one tRNA (with a specific anti-codon) for a particular amino acid; and 'wobble' base-pairing, i.e. permitting non-standard base-pairing at the 3rd anti-codon position. The record is from RNAcentral. Lineage: Eukaryota; Metazoa; Cnidaria; Anthozoa; Malacalcyonacea; Nephtheidae.